CCUACGGGAGGCAGCAGUGGGGAAUAUUGGGCAAUGGAGGAAACUCUGACCCAGCAACGCCGCGUGAAUGAUGAAGGUCUUCGGAUUGUAAAGCUCUUUUCUAAGGGAAGAAGAAAGUGACGGUACCUUAGGAAUAAGCCUCGGCUAACUACGUGCCAGCAGCCGCGGUAAUACGUAGGAGGCGAGCGUUAUCCGGAAUGACUGGGCGGAAAGGGGGCGGAGGUGGUUUGGCAAGUUAGUAGCGUAACUCCAAGGCUCAACCUUGGAACUACUACUAAAACUGUUGGACUUGAGUGCAGGAGGGGCAAGCGGAAUUCCUAGUGUAGCGGUGGAAUGCGUAGAUAGUAGGAGGAACACCAGUGGCGAAGGCGGGUUGCUAGACUGUAACUGACACUGAGGCACGAAAGCGUGGGGAGCAAACAGGAUUAGAUACCCCUGUAGUC
Molecule: ribosomal RNA, 443 nt
Filed under: uncultured bacterium
Lineage: Bacteria
Description: partial 16S ribosomal RNA
Rfam family: Bacterial small subunit ribosomal RNA
Source: RNAcentral